This is a microRNA precursor of Seriola lalandi dorsalis, 84 nucleotides long. NCBI's taxonomy places the organism in Eukaryota, Metazoa, Chordata, Actinopteri, Carangiformes, Carangidae. The record is from Ensembl.
UAAAUUUGUUGUCAAGUAGACUGUCUCCAGGCAUGUAAACAUCCUACACUCUCAGCUGUGUUGUUAUGGAGCUGGGAGAGGGGU